GAUGAACGCUGGCGGCGUGCCUAAUACAUGCAAGUCGGGCGAACGGACGAGAAGCUUGCUUCUCUGAUGUUAGCGGCGGACGGGUGAGUAACACGUGGAUAACCUACCUAUAAGACUGGGAUAACUUCGGGAAACCGGAGCUAAUACCGGAUAAUAUUUUGAACCGCAUGGUUCAAAAGUGAAAGACGGUCUUGCUGUCACUUAUAGAUGGAUCCGCGCUGCAUUAGCUAGUUGGUAAGGUAACGGCUUACCAAGGCAACGAUGCAUAGCCGACCUGAGAGGGUGAUCGGCCACGCUGGAACUGAGACACGGUCCAGACUCCUACGGGAGGCAGCAGUAGGGAAUCUUCCGCAAUGGGCGAAAGCCUGACGGAGCAACGCCGCGUGAGUGAUGAAGGUCUUCGGAUCGUAAAACUCUGUUAUUAGGGAAGAACAUAUGUGUAAGUAACUGUGCACAUCUUGACGGUACCUAAUCAGAAAGCCACGGCUAACUACGUG
RNAcentral lists this ribosomal RNA (497 nucleotides) under uncultured bacterium. RNAcentral describes it as "partial 16S ribosomal RNA". It matches the Rfam family "Bacterial small subunit ribosomal RNA", at positions 28 to 507 of the family's 1533-position model. The record is from RNAcentral.